Molecule: long non-coding RNA, 224 nt
Filed under: Capsicum annuum
Lineage: Eukaryota; Viridiplantae; Streptophyta; Magnoliopsida; Solanales; Solanaceae
Description: long non-coding RNA (CANN_LNC016672)
Source: RNAcentral
ACCACCACUGGUGGUGCGGUUUGGUGUCAAACAAAGAGCAUCAAAGAGGAUUAGGAGACCGGUUAUAACACACACACACAUAUAUAUAUAUAUCCUCCUCUGCAAAUUAAACAACACUCAUCGAUCUAUUGAUAUGGGAUAGGUAUAUGGAGGUGGUGGUGGUGCGAUUUCCGGCCACCACAGACGGCGGAGGAGGAGAAUUGGAGAGAACAUUUUUGUUUUUG